AGGAGGAGGACAGGCCACGAGCAGACAGCUCCACCUGCUAAUGAUUCACCCUCCGUACAGACACAUGCUUUGUGUGGUUUCGCAGAAUAGUUCAGUGUAUCACCAGCAAAAUGCUGGAGAACAACAAGGCGCUGCCCUCCUGAGACGGAGCCGUGGGCCCAGACAAAGGUGGGCCUGUGGUCCGGUCCAAUCACAACCUGUGGAAAAUCCCCCGCCGCUGCCGGGCCAAGAUGCCGGCGCUGCGAGAGGAAUGUGAGAGGCAGACGAGUCCAGAAGCAACGCGGGCACGAGGGAAUUCCUGCUGUGUGGACGCAAGCUCUGCAGCGGCCAUGUCUGACCUCCAGCAGCUGUACAGAACCUCUCAACCUGCAGGCCGGCGUUAGCUGCGACGGAAGCGCUUAAACAGCAGAACGCUGCUAAUGAGUACAGAAGCAGAGACACCGAGAGCGUUGGGUGAGUGAAUGGAGCCGUGUGCACGGAGCAGGGGAUGGAAUGGAGCCUGCUCGGCCUUUCUCCACCCACGCCCCUGUGGACCCGUCAAAGUCGCGCUGCGGUCCAGAGAUGAGACGCCACGACGCUGAUUUACUAUUCAGAGGUUAUUCAUCGCCUGUGGAUAAAAAGACAAUUGAAUUAAGUUGUUGGAAGCGCCGAGGCUGCGGCAGCGCAGGCGAAGCUGCGUGAACCGAGACGGAGCGACGCAGAGAGCGACGCCUGAUGCUCCGAUGCUCCGAUGCUCCGAUGCUGCUUCUUGGAUCGA
Molecule: long non-coding RNA, 757 nt
Organism: Betta splendens (Siamese fighting fish)
Lineage: Eukaryota; Metazoa; Chordata; Actinopteri; Anabantiformes; Osphronemidae
Exons: 4
Source: RefSeq, a predicted model, not a curated record